This 570-nucleotide ribosomal RNA is filed under the name uncultured Bifidobacterium sp. RNAcentral describes it as "bacterial SSU rRNA". It matches the Rfam family "Bacterial small subunit ribosomal RNA", at positions 136 to 721 of the family's 1533-position model. Lineage: Bacteria; Bacillati; Actinomycetota; Actinomycetes; Bifidobacteriales; Bifidobacteriaceae. The record is from RNAcentral.
AUUCGAUUCUCCUGGAAACGGGUGGUAAUGCCGGAUGCUCCAGUUGGAUGCAUGUCCUUCUGGGAAAGAUUAUAUCGGUAUGGGAUGGGGUCGCGUCCUAUCAGGUAGUCGGCGGGGUAACGGCCCACCGAGCCUACGACGGGUAGCCGGCCUGAGAGGGCGACCGGCCACAUUGGGACUGAGAUACGGCCCAGACUCCUACGGGAGGCAGCAGUGGGGAAUAUUGCACAAUGGGCGCAAGCCUGAUGCAGCGACGCCGCGUGCGGGAUGACGGCCUUCGGGUUGUAAACCGCUUUUGAUCGGGAGCAAGCCUUCGGGUGAGUGUACCUUUCGAAUAAGCACCGGCUAACUACGUGCCAGCAGCCGCGGUAAUACGUAGGGUGCAAGCGUUAUCCGGAAUUAUUGGGCGUAAAGAGCUCGUAGGCGGUUCGUCGCGUCCGGUGUGAAAGUCCAUCGCUUAACGGUGGAUCCGCGCCGGGUACGGGCGGGCUUGAGUGCGGUAGGGGAGACUGGAAUUCCCGGUGUAACGGUGGAAUGUGUAGAUAUCGGGAAGAACACCAAUCACUAGUG